AUGGUGUUCAGCAAGGUCGAAGUGAACCUGAGAAGGCUGCUUCAGGAGGCUCCUCAGCAGCAGAAUCAGGCCAAGCUUGCCCAUUACAUAUCCACAGCCAGGGAGCUAUUGGAGCAGCUUGGAGCAGAAAUUACAACUGAAGGAGUACCAAGAGUUUCGAAAGCUAAGCUCAGUGAGUAUUCAGAAAAGAUUGAGGCGCUAGCUGCCACAUUUUCUGCUCCAGUGACAGAAAAUGACGAUCCAGUUGAUGAGAUCAAAGAAGAAAGCUCUUUGGAAAGAGAAAAGGUUGAAGGUCCAAUAUCCUUAUCAGCAGUAUUGAGAAGGAGAUCAACGGCUCAGGUGGAAGCUGGUACAAGCAAUAAUGAGAGGAAAGAGAGGGACACUGGAGCACCUAUUAAAUUGGAUUCAGAAGCUCAGGCUCACAUUGAGAAGCAUAGGAACCUGCAAGACAGUCUGAUAGACGAAAUGGUUGACUUAGCACGCCAGCUGAAGGAAAGUAGCCUUGUAGUGAACCAAUCCGUGCAAGAUACAGUGAAGAUCCUUGAUUCCACUGAGAGAGCCAUGGAGCAUAGCUUGGCAAGCACCGGGAGCGCAACGGCGCGAGCCUCUGAGGUCUACUCGCUGGCCUCCAAGACAACCUGCUUCCAGUGGUUGCUCAUCUUUCUGAUGACCUGCAUGUUCGUCAUGGUGGUUAUGCUCAUACGGGUCACCUGA
This 714-nucleotide ribosomal RNA is filed under the name Triticum aestivum (bread wheat). Its description in RNAcentral is "partial small subunit ribosomal RNA". The record is from RNAcentral. Lineage: Eukaryota; Viridiplantae; Streptophyta; Magnoliopsida; Poales; Poaceae.